RNAcentral lists this unclassified non-coding RNA (242 nucleotides) under Hevea brasiliensis (rubber tree). Lineage: Eukaryota; Viridiplantae; Streptophyta; Magnoliopsida; Malpighiales; Euphorbiaceae. The record is from RNAcentral.
CAUCAUUAUGCUUGUCUUGUGAUUUCCUGCUUUAAUUUAUGACUUUUUCUUAACGUGCAAAAUUCCUUUGAUAGCUUAGUGUCUUCCAACCGAAGGAAGUUCAUGCUAGUAGCACAACUUCUGGUUACUUAUAUUACUCUAGUCACUUGGAACUGACAGUUAUAGAGAUUUAAAAUGACAUUUAUAGGGGUUGAAGGUCAUAUAACCAUAGAACUAGGGAUUUUUUUUUUCUUUUAAUUUGG